This 492-nucleotide ribosomal RNA is filed under the name uncultured bacterium. RNAcentral's name for it is "partial 16S ribosomal RNA". It matches the Rfam family "Bacterial small subunit ribosomal RNA", at positions 30 to 507 of the family's 1533-position model. The record is from RNAcentral.
AUUGAACGCUGGCGGCAUGCUUUACACAUGCAAGUCGAACGGUAACAGGCCUUCGGGUGCUGACGAGUGGCGAACGGGUGAGUAAUGCAUCGGAACGUGCCCAGAGGUGGGGGAUAACGCAGCGAAAGCUGUGCUAAUACCGCAUGUGAUCUGAGGAUGAAAGCGGGGGACCAGGCAGCAAUGUUUGGCCUCGCGCCUUUGGAGCGGCCGAUGUCAGAUUAGGUAGUUGGUGGGGUAAAGGCCUACCAAGCCGACGAUCUGUAGCUGGUCUGAGAGGACGACCAGCCACACUGGGACUGAGACACGGCCCAGACUCCUACGGGAGGCAGCAGUGGGGAAUUUUGGACAAUGGGCGCAAGCCAGAUCCAGCAAUGCCGCGUGCGGGAAGAAGGCCUUCGGGUUGUAAACCGCUUUUGUACGGAACGAAAAGGCUCUGGCUAAUACCUGGGGCUGAUGACGGUACCGUAAGAAUAAGCACCGGCUAACUACGUG